AUUGAACGCUGGCGGCAGGCCUAACACAUGCAAGUCGAACGGCAGCGCGGUCAUCGCCUGCGCGGCGGGGUGCCAAGGGGCGGGCAGUUCAGGGGUACGUGGCCAUCUGCUGGGGCUAGGGGGGUAAAAGCGGGAAAAAUACGCUAUUCCAGCAUACGGCGAACGCGGGGGAGCAUGGGAUCUUCCGCCCUUGCGCGGGUGGAUGGGCCGAUGGCGGAUUAGCUAGGUGGUGGGGUAAAGGCCCACCAAGGCGACGAUCGGUAGCUGGUCUGAGAGGACGAUCAGCCACACUGGAACUGAGACACGGCCCAGACUCCUACGGGAGGCAGCAGUGGGGAAUAUUGGACAAUGGGCGAAAGCCUGAUCCAGCAAUACCGCGUGGGUGAUGAAGGCCUUCGGGUUGUAAAGCACUUUUGGCGGGAACGAAAAGCAGCAUGUUAAUACCACGAUGUGAUGACGGUACCCGCAGAAUAAGCACCGGCUAACUACGUG
This 492-nucleotide ribosomal RNA is filed under the name uncultured bacterium. Its description in RNAcentral is "partial 16S ribosomal RNA". It matches the Rfam family "Bacterial small subunit ribosomal RNA", at positions 29 to 507 of the family's 1533-position model. The record is from RNAcentral.